RNAcentral lists this long non-coding RNA (8298 nucleotides) under Ananas comosus (pineapple). RNAcentral describes it as "long non-coding RNA (ACOM_LNC043007)". Lineage: Eukaryota; Viridiplantae; Streptophyta; Magnoliopsida; Poales; Bromeliaceae. The record is from RNAcentral.
AAAACCCACGAAACCAACACGCGAAAAAAUAAUUCACUAAGAGAAAAGAUUACAAGGUGAUUACCGACUCCACGGACUCAACCUCUCUUAACCUCCCAUGAAUCUCCCGCAAUCCUCCGGGUUGUCCACGCCCUCACGUUCGAAUCCACAAACGCCUCGCACACGUCCGAAUCAACGACGCCACUAGAAUCCACGAGCCCACGAUCCGAAUCCACGAACCACCGUCAAUCACGCCGAAUCCACGACGCCAUCAUGAAGAACAUCAUGUAUAUGAUGAUCCUUCGCUUAAAGUAUUGAUGAAAACCAGAGAAGGAAACUCCAAGCGAAGCGGAGAUCAAAUCGACAUAUAGAUAUGAAAUUUCAAUAUCUCGAUUUGACCUAAAAGAGGCUAAUAUGUAGAAAAUAGGUUUUAGAUGAAAUCCGAGCCUCUAGGGUUUCUCAAACAUGUAUUUCCGUGAUGCUUAAUAAGUUAGAGAACCCCAACAGCUUAUUUAUAGACUUUAGAAUCAAUUGGAGUCGGAUUAGAAAGUUUUCACGAUUUUACACAGUGUACCGGUACACGAAAGGCUGUCACCGGUUACACAAUGACGGAACGAAAAAUUUGUGAAGCCAAAGUUGAUGGCUGUACCGGUACGGGGCAAUUGCUGUACCGGUACACAGUGCAAUUUUCACAUUUUGCACUGUUUCGGGUUCCGCAGAGUUCCGAAGCACUUUCUAAUCAGCUAAAUAUUAAUAAUAAUGAUUCUAACGCCUAUAACUAAGUAUGAAUCACCAUAACAUGAAUUAACACAUUACCUUUACGUCGUGAUCCACAUUGUGAGUUACUUUCCAAAAUCUUCGAAAUCUUGAAUUCUUCAAUCUUCGACGACACUCACCGAUUCUUCAAGAUUCUGACUCGCUUCACGAAACUUGCCAACACACAAGACUUAACAAUCUUCCCCUUUGGCAAUUUCAUGACAAAACUCACACAAACUCAAAAAUUACAUCUUAAAGAAAAAAAAUGAAGUUCAAUUGUUAUCACCAGAACAUUGAACUCCUCGCAUGUGAUCCAAAUACAAUUCGAAACUCAAAAGUACAUCAUAAACUCCUAAAACAGACUCUAUGACUUAGACACAACUAGAAGUCUUGAAGUCUUGAAGUCCUGCAAAACAGAUCAAUCAAAAAGAUAUAGAAAUCUUACAUUCAAUUCAAUGUUCUCUCAACAUUCUUAUUGUACUCGAUCCUUCUCCCCCUUUGUUCAUCAUCCUCUCCAUUGCUCUGCUUUGAUCAAUACCUGUUCUUCUUAUGAUCUCCCCCUUUUUGUCAAAAAUUGCCAAAAGAAAGCAUAUAGAUAGGAAAUACACUAAGAAGAAAAAGAGUAGCCAAGUCAUAGUUACAAGCCUAGAGCAAAAAAGAAAAAACAUGCCAAAAAAAGAUAAGCAAGAAAAACUAAACUAAAACAUCAUCCUAAACAGCAAAUACAGUGAAAUAGGAAGACUAAGCUCGACGAAGAAAUCACUCUGUGUCCUCGUCAUCAUCAUCAUCAGCUCCAGCGCCAGCUCGAGAACCUCCCGCAUCUGAAGCUCCAGUAGAUGGAGGAAUAAGAGGAUGUCGCGAAGUAGACCUCGUAUAGACAGGCUGAGUAGGAAAAAUAUCAUCAUGCCUGCAUCCCAACUUGUCCAUCAUCCUCUUCAUACCCACUUCUACCUUCCUAGCAAGAUCUGCCACUUUCUUCUUCAAAGAUCGUACUUCAUGGCGAAGUGAUUCCCCCCCUGAACUAGAAGAUCCCUCACGCUCUGCACGUGGUGGAGGUGCCUGGCUAGGAGCUGCUUGCGAUGGUCCUUUUGUUUGCUGAAAAGUCUUUAGAGUGCUGACUGACUUGGCCCAGGUAACAGCAUCGAUUGGACCAAGACCAAAAUCAUACUUAUACUUCUCACAAGAAACAUCCACUCCAUUGUCCUGCAGAAUCCUCGUGAUCAAAAGAGGAAAUGGAAGUAGAUCCCGUCGAGCAGAAGCCUGAAUGACAUGAAUCAUCCGCUGCCACAUCAGAAAAGGAAUGUUAAUAUUCAAUCCAUAAGCUUGCUCCGGGUGACCAAGUAAAAACAGUAGAAGCAAACGAUCCCAACGAAUUCGCUUUGUCCCAAUCGUUGGUUGCACAUUGUAGCUCAAGACCAAGGACAGUAGAUGAUACUCUGGUCGCAAAUCCUUGGACUCUACAUAAGAACGAUUAGUUUGCACUCCAGCUUUGCAGAUAGAUGCUACAACUGUAUCCCGGUGAGAUGAUGACUGAAAUCCUCCUGAUGUAUAAAGAAGGCCCGUAGUAUCCACAUUCAUCCCUAAAAGCUCUCCAAUAGUAUAUGGGGUAACGGCAAUCUUCUGUUGACGCACGAAUGUCUCAAAAAGAAAUGUCCUGGUCUCCUCAUCUUCUGCAAGUACUUUUCCGUUCAUAUAGAACUCACGAAUGAGUUCCACACAAAAAGGAGCUCGAGCAGGAACCCUACCAACUGGCUUAAUAGGAACCCGCUGAAGCAACCGCCCAAAGUCAGGAACGUCAUGUAUAAGAUUAUUGAAGUUGACAUAACGCUUUGCAAUACAAAAUUUGCUCAUGAACAUCCUCCGUCGCUCUGGGGAAAUAUCCGCGGCAUGCUUCGUUCGAGUUUCUCUUGCACGAGAACCACCGCCACGCGAGGAUUCGCCAGCUAUACCUUUGCCCUUGUCAAGACGAGCAAUAGGUUCUUCAGCCUCUUUCGGGGAGCUUGCCUGAUAAUCCGGAUCAUACCCGGACGCUUCUUCAGUUGUACGUGUCCUUUUAGAGUCCCCACGACGACCUCUACCACCACCUCCGCCACGACUACGACCGCUUCCAGCGGCCAUCAGCACCAAAAUCAUCAACAUAAGCGAAAACGCCAUUUUUCCUAUACAAAAAUUAACCUUGCAUGAACAAAAUCUUGAAAAAAUUUGUAAAAAUAAUGAAAAAAAUUCUAAUAACAUUAGAAUGCAUACUAAUGCAAUUUCUAACCAGAUUAUGCAAAAAAUUUUCAUCAAAAAUGACAUUUUAUCAAAAAUUCCGAAAUUACAUGCAAAAUCAAGCUUAAAAUAUAGAUCAGCGAAAAAUAAUGUGUUUUGAUAUGAUUCAAGUGUUCUAGAAGCAAGAUAAUGUCCUUAAACACUGAUCUACAGCAAAAAAUUGCAGCAAAAAUGAUCAAAAACAAAGAUCUGAGCAUGAACUCGAAAUUUUUCGAAAAAUAUGUAAAAACGAGAUGAAAUCAUGAAAUCCCAACAAAAAACUUACAAAUUCGGGGGAAAAUAUCAUGGAUCUGGAGGAGAAGGAUCUCAAGAACUCGUAGAAUCAAAGAGAGAGAGAUUUGGUUUUGAAUUGAGGAAGAAAUAAAACCCUAUAUCCGGUUAUAUAAGCCGCUGCUACAGUACUCGUACCGGUACGGGUUCGUGUACCGGUACACAAACUCAUAUUUCGAAAAAUUGACUUUAAAAAUUCAUCAAAUUAAAUUAAUUUCAUAUAAAUUAAGAAUUUUACUCCAAAAAUUAUUAAAAUAAAAAUAAAAUAUUAUAAAAUUUUAAAAUGCAUCGAAACAUCAAAAUUUCAUUAUCAAAAAAUGAUCUCCAGUUUCAAAAUCAUCAAGAUGUAACGGUUCACAAAAAAUGAUAUUUAAAAAUUCAGCAAAAUUGACACCAAUUUGCUGCAAUUCGUUCAAAAUAGAGAUUUAACUAAUAUGAUACCGGGGGUAGCUCUUUGAGCAUCUUUUAUUAAACUAACACCUUAUAACUCCGAAAAUUCUAAAAUAUUCAUUUUUUUCAACCUUUUCGGCUUUUCAAUUAAUCUCCAUGUGAUAGCUUCACACACUUGCCGGACGACCGGGGUGGUAGCUACAUGUGGUGGUAGUUUUCACACUCCUUUUAGGAUGUAACUCUUUCCACAUCUUUUAAACAUAGGAGUUUUUCCUUUUCUUUUUUUUAAAAUAAUUUUAAACUCCCCCUAAAUUAGACAAUCUCACAAUUGAAAAUAUUUUAACAAAUUUUAGUUUAUUAGCGAAUAUCCAUCUAUCAUAUUCAACACACACAACCGAGAUAGAUUAAUCACCAAGAGAUCAAAUUUGAUUUCAAAAUUUUGAUGAAUAUAUGUAUUAAGAAAUCAUAUAUUAAAUUAUCGUCAAAAUAAUAAAAAGUGGAGCAAAAACGAUAAUUAAUAUGAAUUUAACUUAAUAUGAUUGUGAAGUUAAAUACCGUUUACGCGACUUUUAGAAAAAUUUCUCUCCUCAAAAUAAUGAUUCUCAAUCAUCUCCUUUCUCAAAAAAAAAAAUUUGGAUUCCUAAACACCUUUCCUCAAAAUAAUUUUUUAAACAACCAAAAUUCAAAGCACCAAAAAAAAAAAUCAUUUAAACAUGUAAUGCAAUGAAUAAAAAUAUGCAAUAAGCACCUAUCAAAGCAUUACACUAAAAAUCAAAAAUGACUAAGACGAGGAGCAAGGAAAGAUAUCACCUUUCCGGAUCCAAACUUGUCGGAUUUUGCGUUGUCUUGUCUUGUCGACGUUAGGCACAAUUUGCUUUGGUUUUUGAUCAACAGUUGGUCGUUUCUUUGCAUGAGGUUUUGGUUGGACUUGAUUUUGUGCUUUGGAAAAACCAUUCCCUCGAGGCACUCGACUCAAUUGAUUUUUCUUUUGAUUCUGUGGGGGAUGUCGAGUUGUAGAUGAUGUCGAUUGAGGUUUAGAGAGUGUCGAUCGAAGUGUAGACAUUGCCAAUUGAUUCAUCUUUCCUUUAUUUGGGCAAUUCCUUUUGAUGUGUCCUUUGAUGCCACAAUUAUGACACACCUUGCCAUUUAAAGUUGUUGAGACUUUAGAAGUUGAUUUUGAAUCCUUCUCAACGUAUGUUCUUUUAUAUCCGAGUCCAAGCUUGUUCGUUUGACCCAAUCCGAGCAUAUGAUCUAGUUUCUUUGAUCCGGAUGAAAAUUGUUGAAUGUCGGAUUGAAGUUGACGAACUUGAUUAGUCAAAGCUUGAUUGGAUACACAUGUUUCCUUGAAUUGUUGCUCCAAAAAUCCAAUCUUAUCUUGAGAUGAUUUGAUCAUUGAAUCCGCUUCAUUUAGCUUCUUUUGGAGAUCCAAAUUAUCUUUUAAAUUUGCUUCCCUUUCCUCCUCGAGAGCCUUAUUCAAAGUCUUUAAGUUGUCAUUUUCCUCCUCAAUGCCUAAUAGACGUCACCUCAACUUCUUAUUAUGUUUGGCCAUUUUCUUCGACUCAAUAAGAAGUUGAUUGUACGCUUCCGCUAUGUCGUCAUCAUUUGAUUCCUCCUCACUUUCGCCAUUGUCGCUCGAAGAAUCAUGCAAAGAAAGAGAAAUAUUGGAAUUAGUAGCAAUAGAGGAUAAACAAACAAUGUUAGACGAAGGUAGAGAAGUGUUAGUAAAUAAAGCAAUGUGAUCACUCUUUUCUUCGUCACUUGAAGAUGAUUCACUAGAAGAAGUGUCAUCUCAAGUUUUUGCUUGCAAAGCCUUUUGCUUAUAAGUCUUCUUUGAAGGACAAUCCGUUGCAAUAUGACCAUAGCCUUUGCAUUUGUAACAUUAGAUUUCUCUUUCAAAUUCAUCCUUUUCUUUUGAAAACUUUGCAAGUUUUUUAUCCUUAGACUUUGACGAUGAAGAUGAUUUAGAAAAAGAUUUUUGCUUAGAAGAUGAAGCCUUGUCCGAUCUAUUUUUCCGAAAAUUCUGUCGGAACUUUUUCGUUAGGAGAGCUAAUUGAUGUUCAAAGUCGGCGAGCGAAACAUCUUCGUCGGAAUCCGGAUCGUCUUCUUCUUUCUUUGUUGAUUUGAGUGCAACCCCUGUGCUUUUAGAAAAAGACUUGGAAGAAGAUUGAUUAGUAGGAAAAGUCAUCUCACAAGUUUGCAUAGCACCUACUAGCUCUUCGACUUUCAUCUCGUCCGGAUGCUUAACCGUUUCGAUUGCGGCAACCUUUGCCCGAAAGCGUUCCGGAAGAGUUCGAAGAAUCUUUCUAACAACUUUAGCAUCUGGAAUUUUCUCUCCUAAGUUAGCGCAUGUAUUGACUACGUCUUGUAGACGCGUGUAGUACUCGGUAAAGGUCUCGUUUUCAUCCAUAGAAAUAGAAUCAAACUUGCUUGUUAGCAUUUGUAAUUUUUGGACCUUUACUAAGCUCGUUCCUUCAUGCGUAACUUGUAGAGUAUCCCAAAUUUUCUUUGCCGUUUCGCAUGCCGAAACACGAGUAAACUCCGUUUGCGAUAAAGCAUUGAAUAAAGCGUUAAUUCCUUUACCGUUAAACGAAGAUGCCUCGUUUUCAUCUUUCGUCCACUUGUUUCGUGGUUUAGGCGUUUCAACAUUCUCGACUUUUUCAAUAGGAUGUUUCCAUCCAAAUUCUAUUGAUUGCCAAACGCGCUCAUCGAUUGCAAUUAGAAAAGCUCUCAUGCGAACCUUCCAAUAGGCAUAAUUUGUGCCGUCGAAGAGCGGUGGUCGAUUAAUGUUUCCGCCUUCGGCCAUUAGAUAACAAUAUAUCUAGAUCCCGCUCUGAUACCAAUUGAAAGUUUUGGGGUGCCCAAGGAUCUAUCUAGAUUGUAUCUAAACACCUAGAGGGGGGUGAAUAGGUGUAAUAGCCAAAAACUACAAAUCUCAAUGCGAUAAAAAUAAUGCGAAAAAUAAAAAUCACACCGAGAUUUACGUGGAAAAACUCCAACUUGGAGAAAAACCCACGGGACCAACACGCGAAAAAAUAAUUCACUAAGAGAAAAGAUUACAAGGUGAUUACCGACUCCACGGACUCAACCUCUCUUAACCUCCUACGAAUCUCGCGCAAUCCUCCGGGUUGUCCACGCCCUCACGUUCUAAUCCACGAAUGCCUCGCACACGUCCGAAUCCACGAACGCCACUCGAAUCCACGAGCCCACGAUCCGAAUCCACGAACCGCCGUCAAUUACGCCGAAUCCACGACGCCAUCAUGAAGAACAUCAUGUAUAUGAUGAUCCUUCGCUUAGAGUAUUGAUGAAAAGCAGGGAAGAAAACUCCAAGCGAAGCGGAGAUCAAAUCGACAUAUAGAUAUGAAAUUUCAAUAUCUCGAUUUGACCUAAAAGAGGCUAGUAUGUAGAAAAUAGGUUUUAGAUGAAAUCCGAGCCUCUAGGGUUUCUCAAACAUGUAUUUUUGUGAUGCUUAAUAAGUUAGAGAAUCCCAACAGCUUAUUUAUAGACUUUAGAAUCAAUUGGAGUCGGAUUAGAAAGUUUUCACGAUUUUACACAGUGUAUCGGUACACGAAAGGCUGUCACCGGUUACACAAUGACGGAAGGAAAAAUUUGUGAAGCCAAAGUUGAUGGCUGUACCGGUACGGGGCAAUUGCUGUACCGGUACACGGUGCAAUUUUCACAUUUUGCACUGUUUCAGGUUCCGCAGAGUUCCGAAGCACUUUCUAAUCAGCUAAACAUUAAUAAUAAUGAUUCUAACGCCUAUAACUAAGUAUGAAUCACCAUAACAUGAAUUAACACAUUACCUUUAUGUCGUGAUCCACAUUGUGAGUUACUUUCCAAAAUCUUCGAAAUCUUGAAUUCUUCAAUCUUCGACGACACUCACCGAUUCUUCAAGACUCCGACUCGCUUCACGGAACUUGCUAACACACAAGACUUACUAGGAUCCGCGCAACUUGCGCCAAGGUGAUCGGACUGUAGCCGAGUACGAGCGGGAGUUUUCUCGGCUUCUUCACUGCGUGCCUUUCGUCGUACGGGACAACGAGGAUAAGGCCCGCAUCUUCGAGCGAGGAUUGCGACCGUCGAUCUUCCGGUUUGCGCAAUCCUCUAACCUCCAAACCUACCGGGAGGUGGUGGAUCGCACGCUCAUCGUGGAGAGCGACGCGGCAGACGUCCAGGAGCGGCGAGAGGCGAUGGACAAUGGUGAAAGUUUUGGGGUGCCCAAGGAUCUAUCUAGAUUGUAUCUCGCACCUAGAAGGGGGUGAAUAGGUGUAAUAGCCAAAAACCACAAAUCUCAAUGCGAUAAAAAUAAAUACGAAAAAUAAAAAACACAUCGAGACUUACGUGGGAAACUCCAACUUGGAGAAAAAUCCACGGGACCAACACACGAAAAAAUAAUUCACUAAGAGAAAAGAUUACAAGGUGAUUACCGACUCCACGGACGCAACCUCUCUUAACCUCCUAUGAAUCUCGCGCAAUCCUCCGGGUUGUCCACGCCCUCACGUUCGAAUCCACGAACGCCUCACACAUGUCCGAAUCGACGAACGCCACUCGAAUCCACGAGCCCACGAUCCGAAUCCUCGAACCGCCGUCAAUCACGCCGAAUCCACGACGCCAUCAUGAAGAACAUCAUGUAUA